RNAcentral lists this ribosomal RNA (286 nucleotides) under uncultured bacterium. Its description in RNAcentral is "partial 16S ribosomal RNA". It matches the Rfam family "Bacterial small subunit ribosomal RNA", at positions 333 to 636 of the family's 1533-position model. The record is from RNAcentral.
GGUGGCCUACGGGACGCAGCAGUGGGGAAUAUUGCACAAUGGGGGAAACCCUGAUGCAGCGACGCCGCGUGAGUGAAGAAGUAAUUCGUUAUGUAAAGCUCUAUCAGCAGGGAAGAAAAUGACGGUACCUGAGUAAGAAGCCCCGGCUAACUACGUGCCAGCAGCCGCGGUAAUACGUAGGGGGCAAGCGUUAUCCGGAUUUACUGGGUGUAAAGGGAGCGUAGACGGCAGUGCAAGUCUGGUGUGAAAGGCGGGGGCACAACCCCCGGACUGCUCUGGAAACUGU